UACGUAGGGUGCGAGCGUUAAUCGGAAUUACUGGGCGUAAAGCGUGCGCAGGCGGUUCGCCAAGUCAGGUGUGAAAUCCCCGGGCUUAACCUGGGAAUUGCGCUUGAAACUAGCGGGCUUGAGUGCGGCAGAGGGGGGUGGAAUUCCACGUGUAGCAGUGAAAUGCGUAGAGAUGUGGAGGAACACCGAUGGCGAAGGCAGCCCCCUGGGCCAACACUGACGCUCAUGCACGAAAGCGUGGGGAGCAAACAGG
This 253-nucleotide ribosomal RNA is filed under the name uncultured bacterium. Its description in RNAcentral is "partial 16S ribosomal RNA". It matches the Rfam family "Bacterial small subunit ribosomal RNA", at positions 524 to 776 of the family's 1533-position model. The record is from RNAcentral.